This 1348-nucleotide ribosomal RNA is filed under the name bacterium. Its description in RNAcentral is "bacterial SSU rRNA". It matches the Rfam family "Bacterial small subunit ribosomal RNA", at positions 64 to 1352 of the family's 1533-position model. The record is from RNAcentral.
AGGCGCGGCGGGGAGCGGCGCGGGUACAGGAGCGGCGAACGGGUGAGUAACACGUGGGUGAUCUGCCCUGUACUUCGGGAUAAGCCUGGGAAACUGGGUCUAAUACCGGAUAUGACCUUGGGCGCGCGAGCGGACUGCAUGGUCUUUGGUGGAAAGAUUUAUCGGUACAGGAUGGGCCCGCGGCCUAUCAGCUUGUUGGUGGGGUAAUGGCCUACCAAGGCGACGACGGGUAGCCGGCCUGAGAGGGCGACCGGCCACACUGGGACUGAGACACGGCCCAGACUCCUACGGGAGGCGCGGCAGCAGUGGGGAAUAUUGCACAAUGGGCGAAAGCCUGAUGCAGCGACGCCGCGUGAGGGAUGACGGCCUUCGGGUUGUAAACCUCUUUCGACAGGGACGAAGCGCAAGUGACGGUACCUGUAGAAGAAGCACCGGCCAACUACGUGCCAGCAGCCGCGGUAAUACGUAGGGUGCGAGCGUUGUCCGGAAUUACUGGGCGUAAAGAGCUUGUAGGCGGUUCGUCGCGUCGUUCGUGAAAGCGCGAGCACUUGGGGCUCAACCCCAAGCUUGCGGGCGAUACGGGCGGACUAGAGUACUUCAGGGGAGACUGGAAUUCCUGGUGUAGCGGUGAAAUGCGCAGAUAUCAGGAGGAACACCGGUGGCGAAGGCGGGUCUCUGGGAAGUAACUGACGCUGAGAAGCGAAAGCGCGAGCGCGGCGUGGGUAGCGAGCAGGAUUAGAUACCCUGGUAGUCCACGCCGUAAACGGUGGGUACUAGGUGUGGGUUUCCUUCCACGGGAUCCGUGCCGUAGCUAACGCAUUAAGUACCCCGCCUGGGGAGUACGGCCGCAAGGCUAAAACUCAAAGGAAGCCGCGCGUUGACGGGGGCCCGCACAAGCGGCGGAGCAUGUGGAUUAAUUCGAUGCAACGCGAAGAACCUUACCUGGGUUUGACAUACACGGCGCGCCCGGAAACCUGCAGAGAUGUAGGCCCCCUUGUGGUCGGUGUACAGGUGGUGCAUGGCUGUCGUCAGCUCGUGUCGUGAGAUGUUGGGUUAAGUCCCGCAACGAGCGCAACCCUUAGCGCGAGGCGCUCUUAUGUUGCCAGCGCGUAAUGGCGGGGACUCGUGAGAGACUGCCGGGGUCAACUCGGAGGAAGGUGGGGACGACGUCAAGUCAUCAUGCCCCUUAUGUCCAGGGCUUCACACAUGCUACAAUGGCCGGCACAGAGGGCUGCGAUACCGUGAGGGCCGCGCGCGGUGGAGCGAAUCCCUUAAAGCCGGUCUCAGUUCGGAUCGGGGUCUGCAACUCGACCCCGUGAAGUUGGAGUCGCUAGUAAUGCGCGCCCGG